GAACCCUUGGCACAGUGGUAGCGCGUGAGAUUCCAGCAGGGAUAUCCUCAAGGUCGUCCGUUCGAUCCGGGCAGGGUUCA
This 80-nucleotide transfer RNA is filed under the name Trametes versicolor FP-101664 SS1. RNAcentral describes it as "tRNA-Trp". It matches the Rfam family "tRNA". From Rfam's summary of the family: Transfer RNA (tRNA) molecules are approximately 80 nucleotides in length. Their secondary structure includes four short double-helical elements and three loops (D, anti-codon, and T loops). Lineage: Eukaryota; Fungi; Basidiomycota; Agaricomycetes; Polyporales; Polyporaceae. The record is from RNAcentral.